AACCGCCGUGUACCGAACGGUACGCACGGUGGUGUGAGAGGACGUCGGUUAAUCACCGCCUCCUACUCGAU
This 71-nucleotide non-coding RNA is filed under the name Hungatella effluvii. Lineage: Bacteria; Bacillati; Bacillota; Clostridia; Lachnospirales; Lachnospiraceae. The record is from RNAcentral.